CGAGAAAGCCCUUUCGGGGGUGAGUAAAGCGGCGGAUGGGUGAGUAACGCGUGGACAACCCAUCCAAUGGUUCGGGAUAACCCUGCGAAAGCGGGGCUAAUACCGGAUAAUCCGCAUACCUCCAGGGAGGUUUGCGGUAAAGCGUGCCUCUGAUCCAAGCAUGCGCCAUUGGCAGGGUCCGCGUCCCAUUAGCUAGUUGGUAGGGUAACGGCCUACCGAGGCAACGAUGGGUAGCUGGUUUGAGAGGAUGAUCAGCCACAUUGGGACUGGAACACGGCCCAAACUCCUACGGGAGGCAGCAGUGGGGAAUCUUGGGCAAUGGGCGAGAGCCUGACCCAGCGACGCCGCGUGAGGGAAGAAGGCCCUCGGGUCGUAAACCUCUGUCAGGAGGGAAGAAAAUGCUACAUAUUAACAGUGUGUAAUAUUGACGGUACCUCCAGAGGAAGCGCCGGCCAACUCCGUGCCAGCAGCCGCGGUAAUACGGAGGGCGCAAGCGUUAUUCGGAAUUACUGGGCGUAAAGCGCGCGUAGGCGGCAACGUAAGUCAGGUGUGAAAGCCCUCGGCUCAACCGGGGGAUGGCACUUGAAACUGCGUAGCUGGAGUUCUGGAGAGGGUGGCGGAAUUCCCGGUGUAGGAGUGAAAUCCGUAGAGAUCGGGAGGAACACCAGAGGCGAAGGCGGCCACCUGGCCAGAAACUGACGCUGAGGCGCGAAAGCGUGGGUAGCAAACAGGAUUAGAUACCCUGGUAGUCCACGCUGUAAACAUUGGAUGCUAGAUGCGGGUGGCGUAGAAGUCAUCCGUGUCGCAGCUAACGCGUUAAGCAUCCCGCCUGGGAGUACGGCCGCAGGCUGAAACUCAAAGGAUUGACGGGGCCUGCACAGCGGUGGAGUAUGUGGUUUAUUCGAUGCACGCGAAGACCUACUGGGCUGACAUCCGGGACCGCUGGAAACAGCGGGGUGCCCUCGGGACC
RNAcentral lists this ribosomal RNA (970 nucleotides) under uncultured bacterium. Its description in RNAcentral is "partial 16S ribosomal RNA". It matches the Rfam family "Bacterial small subunit ribosomal RNA", at positions 67 to 1027 of the family's 1533-position model. The record is from RNAcentral.